The sequence is a ribosomal RNA, 2897 nucleotides long. It matches the Rfam family "Bacterial large subunit ribosomal RNA".
GUUAUAUGGUCAAGCGAAUAAGCGCACACGGUGGAUGCCUAGGCGGUCAGAGGCGAUGAAGGACGUGGUAGCCUGCGAAAAGUGUCGGGGAGCUGGCAACAAGCUUUGAUCCGGCAAUAUCCGAAUGGGGAAACCCACUGCUUCGGCAGUAUCCUGCAGUGAAUUCAUAGCUGCUGGAAGCGAACCCGGUGAACUGAAAUAUCUAAGUAACCGGAGGAAAAGAAAUCAACCGAGAUUCCCUAAGUAGUGACGAGCGAACGGGGAACAGCCCUUAAGCUGGAAUGGCUUUAGAAAAACAAUCUGGAAAGAUUGGCCAUAGAAGGUGAUAGCCCUGUACUUAAAAGGGCCACUCCAGUGAAGACGAGUAGGGCGGGGCACGUGAAACCCUGUCUGAAUAUGGGGGGACCAUCCUCCAAGGCUAAAUACUCCUGACCGACCGAUAGUGAACCAGUACCGUGAGGGAAAGGCGAAAAGAACCCCGGAGAGGGGAGUGAAAUAGAUCCUGAAACCGUGUGCGUACAAGCAGUAGGAGCUCGCAAGAGUGACUGCGUACCUUUUGUAUAAUGGGUCAGCGACUUACUGUUCGUGGCAAGCUUAACCGUAUAGGGGAGGCGAAGGGAAACCGAGUCUGAUAAGGGCGCAUAGUCGCGGGCAGUAGACCCGAAACCGGGUGAUCUAGUCAUGGCCAGGGUGAAGGUGCCGUAACAGGUACUGGAGGCCCGAACCCACGUCUGUUGCAAAAGACGGGGAUGAGCUGUGAUUAGGAGUGAAAAGCUAAUCGAACCCGGAGAUAGCUGGUUCUCCUCGAAAGCUAUUUAGGUAGCGCCUCGGACGAAUACUACUGGGGGUAGAGCACUGUUAUGGCUAGGGGGUCAUCGCGACUUACCAAACCAUUGCAAACUCCGAAUACCAGUACGUACUAUCCGGGAGACACACGGCGGGUGCUAACGUCCGUCGUGAAAAGGGAAACAACCCAGACCCACAGCUAAGGUCCCAAAUUCACUGCUAAGUGGAAAACGAUGUGGAAAGGCAUAGACAGCCAGGAGGUUGGCUUAGAAGCAGCCACCCUUUAAAGAAAGCGUAAUAGCUCACUGGUCGAGUCGGUCUGCGCGGAAGAUUUAACGGGGCUAAGCAGUGAACCGAAGCUUGGGGUGCGUAAAACUUCGGUUUUAUGCGCGGUAGAGGAGCGUUCCGUAAGCCUGCGAAGGUGGAUUGAGAAGUCCGCUGGAGGUAUCGGAAGUGCGAAUGCUGACAUGAGUAACGAUAAUGCGGGUGAAAAGCCCGCACGCCGAAAGCCCAAGGUUUCCUUGCGCAACGUUAAUCGACGCAGGGUUAGUCGGUCCCUAAGGCGAGGGCGAAAGCCGUAGUCGAUGGGAAGCAGGUUAAUAUUCCUGCACCUCGCGUGAGUGCGAUGGAGGGACGGAGAAGGUUAGGUGUACCGGGCGUUGGUUGUCCCGGGGAAAGGCGGUAGGUUUGGAUCUUUGGCAAAUCCGGGAUCCUUUAAGACCGAGCACCGAGACGAGCCUUUAUGGCGAAGUCACUGAUACCACGCUUCCAGGAAAAGCUCCUAAGCUUCAGCUCACGAAGACCGUACCGUAAACCGACACAGGUGGGUAGGAUGAGAAUUCUCAGGCGCUUGAGAGAACUCGGGUGAAGGAACUAGGCAACAUGGCACCGUAACUUCGGGAGAAGGUGCACCCUUUUUGGUGGCUCAUGCGAGCUAUAGCUGAAGAGGGUCGCAGAAACCAGGCCGCUGCGACUGUUUAUCAAAAACACAGCACUCUGCAAACACGAAAGUGGACGUAUAGGGUGUGACGCCUGCCCGGUGCUGGAAGGUUAAUUGAUGGGGUCAGCCGCAAGGCAAAGCUCUUGAUCGAAGCCCCAGUAAACGGCGGCCGUAACUAUAACGGUCCUAAGGUAGCGAAAUUCCUUGUCGGGUAAGUUCCGACCUGCACGAAUGGCGUAACGACAGCGGCGCUGUCUCCACCCGAGACUCAGUGAAAUUGAAAUCGCUGUGAAGAUGCAGCGUUCCCGUGGCAAGACGGAAAGACCCCGUGAACCUUUACUAUAGCUUUACACUGAACGUUGAGUUCGUCUGUGUAGGAUAGGUGGGAGGCUAUGAAACUGUGGCGCUAGCUGCAGUGGAGCCAUCCUUGAAAUACCACCCUGUCGUGCUUGACGUUCUAACCUAGAUCCGUUAUCCGGAUCAGGGACCGUGUAUGGUGGGUAGUUUGACUGGGGCGGUCUCCUCCUAAAGAGUAACGGAGGAGCACGAAGGUACGCUCAGCGCGGUCGGACAUCGCGCACUGUGUGCAAAGGCAUAAGCGUGCUUGACUGCAAGAUCGACGGAUCAAGCAGGUACGAAAGUAGGUCUUAGUGAUCCGGUGGUUCUGUAUGGAAGGGCCAUCGCUCAACGGAUAAAAGGUACUCCGGGGAUAACAGGCUGAUACCGCCCAAGAGUUCAUAUCGACGGCGGUGUUUGGCACCUCGAUGUCGGCUCAUCACAUCCUGGGGCUGUAGUCGGUCCCAAGGGUAUGGCUGUUCGCCAUUUAAAGUGGUACGCGAGCUGGGUUCAGAACGUCGUGAGACAGUUCGGUCCCUAUCUGCCAUGGGCGUUGGAAGUUUGAGAGGGGCUGCUCCUAGUACGAGAGGACCGGAGUGGACGAACCUCUGGUGUUCCGGUUGUCACGCCAGUGGCAUUGCCGGGUAGCUAUGUUCGGAAGCGAUAACCGCUGAAAGCAUCUAAGCGGGAAGCGCGCCUCAAGAUGAGACUUCCCGGGGCACAAGCCCCCUAAAGGAACCAUAUAGACUAUGUGGUUGAUAGGUCAGGUGUGUAAGUACAGCAAUGUAUUGAGCUAACUGAUACUAAUGAUCCGUGCGGCUUGACCAUAUAACCU